CCCUACGGGCGGCAGCAGUGGGGAAUCUUGCGCAAUGGGCGAAAGCCUGACGCAGCCAUGCCGCGUGAAUGAUGAAGGUCUUAGGAUUGUAAAAUUCUUUCACCGGGGACGAUAAUGACGGUACCCGGAGAAGAAGCCCCGGCUAACUUCGUGCCAGCAGCCGCGGUAAUACGAAGGGGGCUAGCGUUGCUCGGAAUUACUGGGCGUAAAGGGCGCGUAGGCGGACAUUUAAGUCAGGGGUGAAAUCCCGGGGCUCAACCGCGGAACUGCCUUUGAUACUGGGGGUCUUGAGUGUGAGAGAGGUAUGUGGAACUCCGAGUGUAGAGGUGAAAUUCGUAGAUAUUCGGAAGAACACCAGUGGCGAAGGCGACAUACUGGCUCAUUACUGACGCUGAGGCGCGAAAGCGUGGGGAGCAAACAGGAUUAGAUACCCGUGUAGUCCU
RNAcentral lists this ribosomal RNA (443 nucleotides) under uncultured Caulobacteraceae bacterium. RNAcentral's name for it is "bacterial SSU rRNA". It matches the Rfam family "Bacterial small subunit ribosomal RNA", at positions 337 to 797 of the family's 1533-position model. Lineage: Bacteria; Pseudomonadati; Pseudomonadota; Alphaproteobacteria; Caulobacterales; Caulobacteraceae. The record is from RNAcentral.